RNAcentral lists this transfer RNA (72 nucleotides) under Candidatus Pacearchaeota archaeon. RNAcentral describes it as "tRNA-Leu". It matches the Rfam family "tRNA". From Rfam's summary of the family: Transfer RNA (tRNA) molecules are approximately 80 nucleotides in length. Their secondary structure includes four short double-helical elements and three loops (D, anti-codon, and T loops). Further hydrogen bonds mediate the characteristic L-shaped molecular structure. tRNAs have two regions of fundamental functional importance: the anti-codon, which is responsible for specific mRNA codon recognition, and the 3' end, to which the tRNAs corresponding amino acid is attached (by aminoacyl-tRNA synthetases). tRNAs cope with the degeneracy of the genetic code in two manners: having more than one tRNA (with a specific anti-codon) for a particular amino acid; and 'wobble' base-pairing, i.e. permitting non-standard base-pairing at the 3rd anti-codon position. Lineage: Archaea; Nanobdellati. The record is from RNAcentral.
GGGGAAGUAGCUCAGUGGUAGAGCGUCAGAUUUAAAAGCUGAAGGUCGCAGGUUCGAUUCCUGCCUUCCCCA